CCUGCCUUUCUGUGCGGAAGACUGAGCCUCUCCUUUGUGUAACAGGCAGCAAGGAAGGUUUUAACAGGACUGUGUGACCAGUCUAGAUGUAAAUUUCAGAGAUACAGGAGGACUAUGAGGAGGAAGAAAAGCAGGAGGGAACAAGUUGAGUCUUCUUCCUUCAUCCAGGAUUCCAAAACAGGGGGAUGUGGAGAAAGGACAAUGUAUGCGAAAGCCUGCAGACGUGCACACAGUAUGGAACACAGUUACAGAAAUAGAGUGUCUGAGGCUCGCUCGACCCGCUGCGCCUUGGGAGAGAAGAUGAACCCCAUAAGGGGAGCCGGGAGAGAAGAAACCAGAUGAAUAUUCAGGUGCCCUGGGGACAGAGGUGUGACCUGUGCCUGGUGGGUCGGAGACACAGCCAGAGCCUUGGCUGAGUCUAAAAAGCCAGGCCUACUCACUCACAUUCCACUCGCAACAGUGGCUUCUGAUUUCACCGUACAAGUGCUCGCUCUGUGCCCCAGGGGAAUCCCAUGGCCAGCUGUGAAGGCAGGAAGAGGAGAAUCAAGCAUGAAGCCAGCCUCCAGGGCAGCAGCUGAUGCUGAGCAAGUGGGUGAGGGAUCGACACAGCCGGCCGGCCGCUCACAUCCACCUAUCCAUCCAUCACUCACGUAUACACCCAUUUCUCCCAACUGCUCCUUCUCUUUAAGGAGUUCUCUUUAUAUUAUUUUAAUUUUUAAGACUGGGUCUCUCUAUGUAGCCUUGGCUCUCCUGGCAGUCUCCAUGCAGAGCAGGCUGGCCUCGAACUCACAGAGAUCUGCCUGCCUUUGCCAACCAAGUGCUGGGGUUAAUGGUGUGUGCCACCAUACCCAGACCAAAGAUUUAUUUUCCCUGCCCCCACACUCCCCGGCUCUGAGGGUCUUACACUUGUUAGGCAAUCAAUCAGUCUAUCACUGAGCUAAAGCCCCAACCCCAAGAUUUCUGUUUUUAUUAAAAAAAUAUUAAUUUUAUAAGUGUUUUGCCUUCAUGUAUGUAUGUGUACCACAUAUGUACAUAUCUGAUGUUCACAAAGCCCAGAAGAGGGCAUUGGAUGCCUUGGAACUGGAGUUUCAGGUGGUUGGAAGUCACCAUGUAGGUGCUAGGAAUCAAACCCAGGGUCCUCGGUAAGAACAAGUGCUCUGAACCAUCGAGGCACGUCUCCAAGGCCCCUAAAGACUGCCUUUUCUUUUUAUUUACACAGAUGCGUAUGGUGUUUCCCUCAGAAACAAGAAGGCACCAGAUCCCUAGAAUGGCGUUCCAGGUGGUUGUGAGCUACCACGUGGGUCCUGGGAAUCAAACCCUAGUCCUCUGCAGGAGCAGCAAGUGUUCCCAGCCCCUUCUCCAGCCCCUCCCUCCAAUGAUGCAUUUCAUCCAUUUGCCUGUAUUUGUGCGUUGUGUCUGCCUAUGCAUGUACCAUGGUGUGUCUAUGGAGGCUGGAGGACAGCUAGCAAGAGCCACUUCUCGUCUUACAUAGCGGUCCCAGGGCUGGAACUCAGGUUGGGAAGUUUGUUGGCACGUGCCUUUGCCUGCCGAGCCAUCUUGCUGGUCCUCUAGUUAUUGAUUUUGCAUAUACCCGAAUGAAUACCUUCUGUGUGCCAUCGCUGUCCUGAGUGGACUCCGCAGGGGACAGAGCAGAUACAGUCCGUGCCUUUAUGGGACUUCCGUGCUGGGAGGAGGUAGCAGAGCAGUUGUGGCGAAUGCAGAUAAGAACUAAUGAGGGGAGGGUGCCAGACAGGAGCCCAGUGGCACAGACCUCUAGUCUCAGAGCCUCACAAGUGGAGGCAGGGGCAUGGCAGUGUGAGGUCUGCUUGAACUAGAGUGAGUUCUAGGCUUGCCCAGGCAGCUUAGUGAGACCUUGGCUCAUAACACAAAGAGAGGCCUGGGGUUGGAGCUCAGUGGUAGAGUGCUUACACGGCACACAAGAGGGCCUGGGUUCAGCUCCUGGUCUCUCUCUUACACACACACUCACUCACACAAACACACUUAUACACACAUAUACACAAACACACACACAAACACACACUAAUGCAUAUACACAAAUACACACAUACACAAACACACACACUCACACAUACAUAAAAACACAUGCACACACAAACACACAUAUAUACACUCAUAAAUAUACAAACACACACUCACACAUACAUACACUUACACAAACACACUCACAUACACACACUCUCAUGCAAACACUCACACAAACACAUAAACACACUCACAUAAAUGAAAGCACACACACUCAAACACAAAGAAACACACACUUACACACACAUCCAUACACAUAAACACACAAACACAUACACACACACAAACAGGCAAACUCACACACAUAAAAACACAUACACACAAACACACUUACACAUACACACGCUCACACAAAUACACACACUCGCACACACAUGCAAGCACACACACUCAAACACAAAGAAACACACACACACAUCCAUACACAUCCAUGCACAGACACAAACAUACAUACUCACAUACAUGCAAACACAUACAUGCACACACACAGAGACACACAGCACAAAGGGGACAGAAACUGGGGGGUGAGGGCCAAGUUUGAACGCACGCCCAGAGAAAGCCUCUCUGAGGUGACCUCUGAGUGCAGACUCAGAGGAAAUAACUGCUGUGCAGAUGUUUCCACAGCUGUGACUGGUGCUCAGUUCUCCUGUCUCAGAGACAAGAAAAAGGGGGUCUGGAAUAAAAUGGCUUGUUUCAAGUUACCUCGGAAAUGCCUGGGACAGUGGACGGGCACUGGACAGUACUCAGGCGUGGAGUCUGUCACUAGAGACACUGGCACAACCAUCCUUGACUGCCUGACAUCCACCUUGCUUCUCUCCCUCACUAAAGCCAGAUUUCUUUUUUUUUUCUUUCUUUCUUUCUUUUUUUUUUUUUUUUUUUGGUUUUUCGAGACAGAGUUUCUCUGUAUAGCCCUGGCUGUUCUGGAACUCACUUUGUACACCAGGCUGGCCUCGAACUCAGAAAUCCGCCUGCCUGCCUCCCGAUCAAAGGCGUGCACCACCACGCCUGGCUUAAAGCCAGAUUUCUAAAGUCCCACAAUAGUCAUGGGCAAGGGGGUAAGGAAGGACCAGGAUGGGCAGGGGCUGGGGAAGGUGUGGUCAGGGUCCUCUUAGCUCACUCAGGGUUAAGAGGAUAUGAGGAAUGAUUCUACAUGCCCCCAUCCUGAAGAUGUUAGGUGGUCAGAGGAAGAGAGGGAAGGAUCUAUGCCCGUCUGCAAGCCCACAAGACAGACAUCAACCAUGGGGACCAAGUGGAACCCUCUGUCUACUCAGCCCUACCCAGUCCUGUAGAGGUAACCGGAUGCCCCCAGAGCUGGAAGCCACUGGCGCUAACAGUUCCGGCAACAGUAGCCCUAGUGUCCUUCUGUGGGUGGCUCAGAACUGAGAAUUAAGUUUGAAGGGGACCAAAGGGGACUGUCCCUACUCUACCCUUUCCCUUCCUUCUUCCCCCAUAAAGGGAAACAUUAGAAAAAGGACUCAGAGGGCUGAGGCAGAGUAAGUCAGGCUGCGGAGCCUCAGCUCACUAAAUCCAUUCUCCACCCACCUCAAGCUGAGAUGGCUCUGGGCCCCCAGAAGACAGAAAGGAAGGGAGAGAGAGAGAGAGAGAGAGAGAGAGAGAGAGAGAGAGAGAGAGAGAGAGAGAGAGAGAGAGAGACUUCACCUCCACUCUCCUCAUCCAACUUCACAUGUGACACUGGGGGUUGCUCAAUGAGUUCUGUGGCUGACUCACAGAGCCAGCCAGAGCCACAGAUGACAUUCGACAUUCACAAAGCACCAAAGAGGGAAGAGCCUUCCAUGACUUGCAAGCUCCCUGGUGGCGGGCCUGGGAUCUCAGGAGAGAGGCACAAGAUGUGUUGUGUUUGGGAAUCUGCUUUCUAAAAAACGCCCUUUACUGGCACCUAAUGAUCCAGAAGUAAAGGUGUUUGUUAUGUGA
Mus musculus (house mouse) is the source of this 3975-nucleotide long non-coding RNA. RefSeq annotates it as predicted gene 13012. The transcript is spliced from 3 exons. NCBI's taxonomy places the organism in Eukaryota, Metazoa, Chordata, Mammalia, Rodentia, Muridae. The record is from RefSeq and is a predicted model, not a curated record.